AAAGGAAUAGACGGGGGCCCGCACAAGCGGUGGAGCAUGUUGCUUAAUUCGAGGCAACGCGAAGAACCUUACCCAGGUUUGACAUGCUUUCGACCGGCGUCGAAAGACGCCCUUCCUUCGGGACGGAAGCACAGAUGCUGCAUGGCUGUCGUCAGCUCGUGCCGUGAGGUGUUCGGUUAAGUCCGGCAACGAGCGCAACCCGUGCUGCCAGUUACCAUCACGUAAUGGUGGGGACUCUGGCGGGACCGCCCGUGUCAAGCGGGAGGAAGGCGCGGAUGACGUCAAGUCCGUAUGGCUCCUACACCUGGGGCUGCAAACGUGCUACAAUGGCGGGCACAGUGGGCCGCUGCGCCGCGAGGCGUGGCCAAUCUCCAAAACCCGCCCCAGUUCGGAUUGCAGCCUGCAACUCGGCUGCAUGAAGUCGGAAUCGCUAGUAAAGGGACAUCAGCCACGGUCCCUUGAAUACGUUCCCGGGCCUUGUACACACCGCCCGU
Molecule: ribosomal RNA, 494 nt
Filed under: uncultured bacterium
Lineage: Bacteria
Description: bacterial SSU rRNA
Rfam family: Bacterial small subunit ribosomal RNA
Source: RNAcentral